UAUUCUGCCCUACGGGGAAGGAUGAGAAGCUUCGACUAAGGUUCGACUCGAGCGUAGCGAGAGAACGUUGCCGAAGGCAACGGCCCGAAGGGCGAGGCGCUUUAGCGCCGAGUUAUCCUUCCCCCACCACCA
This 132-nucleotide small RNA is filed under the name Klebsiella quasipneumoniae subsp. similipneumoniae. Its description in RNAcentral is "RtT sRNA". It matches the Rfam family "RtT RNA". From Rfam's summary of the family: This family represents a bacterial cis-regulatory element known as RtT RNA. The exact function of RtT is unknown although it is thought that it may be involved in changing the cellular response in relation to amino acid starvation. RNAcentral also lists the same sequence under 1 other name. The record is from RNAcentral. Lineage: Bacteria; Pseudomonadati; Pseudomonadota; Gammaproteobacteria; Enterobacterales; Enterobacteriaceae.